This 504-nucleotide long non-coding RNA is filed under the name Nicotiana benthamiana. RNAcentral's name for it is "long non-coding RNA (NBEN_LNC007919)". Lineage: Eukaryota; Viridiplantae; Streptophyta; Magnoliopsida; Solanales; Solanaceae. The record is from RNAcentral.
ACUAGAAUUCUUCGCCCCUCCCCUUGUACCAAGAAGCAAGUUCAGAACAUAAGGAUAAUGGGCUCGUCUAUUAUAAGUUAUUAGUUUACGGAGCUAUCUCAGAUAUCUCGAGUAAGGAGACGGGAUAGUUAGAGUUCUAUUUCUAGGAAGGAAGAGACUAUCGGGAAGCUCACUCUCGGCCGGGCUCGAAGCAGAAGGUAGAACGUAAUAUCUCUUGGAGCUAUCUCAGAUAUCUCGAGAAAGGAGACGGGAUAGUUAGAGUUCUAUUUCUAGGAAGGAAGAGACUAUCAGGAAGCUCACUCUCGGCCGGGCUCGAAGCAGAAGGUAGAACGUAAUAUCUCUUGUUGGUUCAGCUCAUCAAGCUAUUACAAAAGAGUCCAGCGGAGACAAAGAAAGAAGCCAUUUUUGUCCGGAUCCAUCCUAAAUCAAAGAGCGGGGCUAAGCGAGGGGCAUAGCGAUACAGUGUUCAUACUCGAGUUGCUCAAAUCCAGUAGGAAUAUCAGG